Molecule: non-coding RNA, 3440 nt
Organism: Physcomitrium patens
Lineage: Eukaryota; Viridiplantae; Streptophyta; Bryopsida; Funariales; Funariaceae
Source: RefSeq, a predicted model, not a curated record
AAAGUUGGGGUUCGGAGGAGGAGGCGUCCCCCCUCCCUACGGGGGGUAGGCCAGGGGGCGGAGAUCGAGACUCUCUCGCUGAUCCAAACCCUCGCCCGCCCGGGAAUCCGAGCCUGGUGCUGAUCAACGGAGGGUGAAGAUGCUGCCACGCCCGGGCUCCGGGGUUGCUAGCCCCAUGUAGAAGAGAAGCACACUUGCUGACUGAGACGACACACACAGUUGCGAAGCCGGAGAGAGAUCAUCACACUUGCGGAAGGCAAGGGCAAGGGCAGGCAAGGGGGAGUUGGUGGGGCAGGGAUGGAGAGCGGCGUGUAUGCCUAAUGCCGCUCGCUCCCCGCGUCAUCAAUUCUCUGCCCUGCAUGAACGUCACAAGUGAAAUUCUCCCCUCUCCUUCUGAUUUUCUGUCUCAAUUCUCUUCCUUCUCCUCCGCCGUGGUUUUGUGUUCCCUUCUACAUUACUUUAUGUGUAAAUCACGCACCCCCGUCCUUUCCCCCGUCAUGCCUCCCUCAUCCAAGUCGUGGAUCACAUAAUCCAUGUUUUUGUUGUAUUUUGGAGCUUCUGACGUUGUCUUUCUUGCUCGUGCAACUAGUGGACAGACGACGAGACAUUGCUGAUUAUGUGCAGCGAAGACAUGGAAGAUUUCAUCCGCGACCUUGCUCUUAGAUCUACAAUGCCUCUUGCGAAACUGACAGCGGAAUACCGGACUUUUAUUUGAUCAUGAUGGAAUCCACAUGUGCCUCAUACUUCAGGAAUCCAUGCGGUCCACCAUGUGGCAUUGUAGGUUUAAGAGCUGUGCCGCGGGUGGAUUGAUGAUCACCUGUUACGGUAUCCAUUUUUGAUUCUGUGAGUCAUGGAUUGCCUUCCAGGUUUUUGAGGAAGAUCUUACUACACCACAUGUCUCGUCCCCGUAACCGGCGCCGGUAAGCUAGUUCAUUCUGAAACUAAGGUAUUACUCUCAAUUGAGGUCUCUCUGAUUUUUUGGUCUUUUAGGCUUUCUAAGAGUUAUUCUGGCACAUGUCAACUCAUCGAUGACGACUGAUGCAGAAGUCCAACUGAUUUAAGUAACGAAUUUUUUCUCGCAAUUAAACUCGUUAUGGUGGCAUGGGCACAGAACGACUUAAAGUACUUACCAAGGCACAGGCCAUGAACUGCUGAAACAUACUCUCUGUGGUAGUUGUUCUGGUCGAAUACUGAUCAAUUUGUGUAAUUGGUCAGCCAUGACUGGAAGCUGAGAAAUUUGUCUGUUAUAGGAUUCCUUAACUGCGUCACCACAGACGUUGCGCUGCGGAUUUAUGAUAGAAUGAGUAACCUUCACACGAAGCAAACCGAAGUGAGGUAAUAGUUCUCUGAUCAAUGUCUACAGUGCGUUGAUAUGUCUUCGGCGCGUGUUGAGAGUCAGUAAAUACAGCGAUGAGAAUCCCCCCGGAUGUUCAUACAAGUUCCAUGAAUAGUUCAACCUCCACCUUGCAGUGGCACGUGGAAUGUAGAAGCAGGCUCUGUUUCUCUCGAAGCUCAUGGAACAAUCAUUUGCUGAAACUGAUUUGAAUAGCAAUGUGUUCGGUUGCAUGCACUCUGUUUUGGUCUGCUAUUCUAGCCAUAUACGCAACACCUCAUGUGAUAUGGCUUACGUCACUGUUGGUAUCAAAGCUUUGGCUCACAUGUGGAUAAUGGGUGAGUGGUCGGUCAACUUCUACAGAUUCUUCUGUGUCGACACCAUUUCAAUCUCGAAAAUUAUAAUGCAGCCAGUGAUGUGCAAGUAUGUUGUUUCUUUUCUCACUAGCUUUCUAGCGGCAGAAGAGACUAUCUUAGUUCCACUUCGAAUGAUCAGUGAGAUCUUUGGGAGCCUUGAAAGGAUAAAUAAACAUGGAGUUUUGUAGCAAUCAGACUUCUAUGCGUUGUGGAUCUGUUUUGCUACCCCACAUCACUUACAAGCAACUGAUUCUUUCUUCUCAGGGAAAAAAUCAGGCACAUAAUCAGAUAUUUUGCAAUCAAUUCUGCCCAUUCGGUUGCUGAACAAGUCGAAUACUAGGUUUGUGGACCACCGUCUUCGAAGACUGGGGAUAGAGCUUCAGGAACUAAAUUUGAGACUGCUGCACAUUAGUACAAAAAAGCAACUGGGUGAUUGGGGUUCUGAGAGCAACAAGGACAAUAAAAUUCUCCCUUGAACGCGAUCUUAGAUCUACAAUGCCUACUUCAGAAGCUUCACGUGAAUACCUUGAGACGAACCUCGAAUACCAAGCAGAAGACUCUAUUUUUGAGUGAUUGUGAACUGAAAUGCCAUUGGCGGCAUUGUGGAUCUGAGACUACGGCCUAGUGUGGAAGCAGAUUCGGCUUCUGUUACAGACAGGAGGAACUAACCUUCAUCAAGCAGGGGAGAACUUGUGCGAAAACGCAGGACGCAAGAGUUAGUAAGACUUUCCAAAAAACUUCAACCUUCCUUGGGCACUGAUAGGGUGCCACUGAAGGUUUAAGCUUCCAAGAAUCACGCUUACAGUGGUUUCAUGGUUAUCGUUGUCGUUUGAACAGUUUAAUGUUAGCAACACAGAGGAGGUGUAACAUAGGAUUGGGCCAUGAGUAGCAUUGAAAAACUGUGAUAAACUGUACUGUGAAUCAACAGUAUGUACGCGGUUUGAAUGACAACAGGUGUGUGUGCACGGGCGAUUGGGUGCAUGUGAACUUGGUCUCAAACCUGCGUGUGAUCAUACGCUGUAAAUUGAUUCCGUUGCGGUAAAAUCAGUGAAGGUGAAUUGCCGCAAAGCUGCUCCAUUCCACGUUUGGAAACCGAACUAUUGAAGCUCAGAUCAGCCAAUAUAUGAGCUCAGCAAACAAUGAAGCAUCACGCAACGGUUUCGUGUUGGAGUAGGACAAAAUGGACAGGUAAAUUCACAAAGCUCCGUUAAAACUGCAUGGUAGAAAUCGAAGCAUAUGCAACCAUUAUGGACUGGUGGGGCAUUCGGCACGCGACUGCCCAGUAAAUCUCAGUCGUCCUGGAUGCUAAGUCAAGCCAAACAUAAAAAGUGAACAAUCCAAAAAGCACUGCAUCUCUCCGAUCCAACUGCAUAGUACGGCAACAUCAAGGAGGGUGGACAUGCAGAAGGUGCACCUGGUGGACGCUCUUGCAGCAAUUUGCAAUGGAAAACAACGAUUCGUGGUACCUGGACUUGGGAUGUCCGGGCAUGUUGCCAGCAAACUCCAUCUGUUUGAACUAGUUAAGAGCACAGUGCAGCUCUCAGAGACUUGCAAUACACUUUUUGGAGGGCUUUAUCUAUCACAUCUUCAAGAAUAAAUAUUACGCUUAUACAAUAAACUUUGUGAACGACUCUGGAUAGAGACAGUAACAACUACAUACUACUUCAUGAAACAGUGUACAGAAGCUGAUUCUAGUACUGUAAUGUAUUAUUUCCUCAAAUGCAAUAACUUUGGUUUUCCUUUCACUGUGA